RNAcentral lists this ribosomal RNA (494 nucleotides) under uncultured bacterium. Its description in RNAcentral is "partial 16S ribosomal RNA". It matches the Rfam family "Bacterial small subunit ribosomal RNA", at positions 28 to 507 of the family's 1533-position model. The record is from RNAcentral.
GACGAACGCUGGCGGCGCGCUUAACACAUGCAAGUCGAACGGAAAGGCCUGCUUUCCCUUGUGGAUUGCGGGUACUCGAGUGGCGAACGGGUGAGUAACACGUGAGUGAUCUGCCCCCAACUUGGGUAUAAGCCUGGGAAACUGGGUCUAAUUCCCGAUAGGACUGCAGGGUGGUGCCUGUGGUGGAAAACGAUUUUCUAGUGGUUGGGGAUGAGCUCGCGGCCUAUCAGCUUGUUGGUGGGGUAAUGGCCUACCAAGGCGGCGACGGGUAGCCGGCCUGGGAGGGUGGACGGCCACAUUGGGACUGGGAUACGGCCCAGACUCCUACGGGAGGCAGCAGUGGGGAAUAUUGCACAAUGGGCGGAAGCCUGAUGCAGCGACGCCGCGUGGGGGAUGACGGCCUUCGGGUUGUAAACUCCUUUCGACCGCGAGGAAGCCACCUGGUUGGAAGGGUGGUGACGUUAGUGGUAGAAGAAGCACCGGCUAACUACGUG